This 368-nucleotide RNase P RNA is filed under the name human gut metagenome. RNAcentral describes it as "Bacterial RNase P class A". It matches the Rfam family "Bacterial RNase P class A". From Rfam's summary of the family: Ribonuclease P (RNase P) is a ubiquitous endoribonuclease, found in archaea, bacteria and eukarya as well as chloroplasts and mitochondria. Its best characterised activity is the generation of mature 5'-ends of tRNAs by cleaving the 5'-leader elements of precursor-tRNAs. The record is from RNAcentral.
GGUGGCUUGUCGCUUGCCGCGUUUGGCGGCAGGAGGAAAGUCCGGGCAACGCAGAGUAUCAUAUUUCCUAACGGGAAGCUGCUUGCGAGGGCAGAGUUGAAUGUGACAGAAAAUAACCGCCGGCGCGUCUUCGAGCAAGGCUGCCGGUAAGGGUGAAAAGGCGAGGUAAGAGCUCACCGGGCGGGAUGGUGACAUUUCGCGCCGCACAACUUAUGAGUUGCAAGGCCAAGUAUACCGGCAUUCAAGGGUUACUCGUCCAUUGUCGGGGGGUAGGCUGCUAAAGUGUACUGGCAACAGUGCAUUGAGAUAAAUGACAGGCCGUGUUUGGCGCAAGCCUGCACGACAUAACCCGGCUUAUAGCCGUGCUG